GAGGUUCAAUGGUAGAGCAUCUGCUUGGAAUUCAGAAGGUUCCAGGUUCAAUCCCUGACAUCUCCA
Molecule: transfer RNA, 66 nt
Filed under: Sphaerodactylus townsendi
Lineage: Eukaryota; Metazoa; Chordata; Lepidosauria; Squamata; Sphaerodactylidae
Description: tRNA-Ser
Rfam family: tRNA
About the family: Transfer RNA (tRNA) molecules are approximately 80 nucleotides in length.
Source: RNAcentral